This 2700-nucleotide unclassified non-coding RNA is filed under the name Hevea brasiliensis (rubber tree). The record is from RNAcentral. Lineage: Eukaryota; Viridiplantae; Streptophyta; Magnoliopsida; Malpighiales; Euphorbiaceae.
AAUUAAGCAAAAAACCAUGUGUCCAUCAGCUCAAGCAACCGCAAGAAUUCAUCAAUCAAAAGUAAAUAAUCUAACUAACCUGUUCUGAUCACCGCAUGCAAAUUUUCACAAUCAUAAAUACAACCCAAUCCAGUGGAAAAAGUAGAGUAGCAAAAGAUUGCUUUGGCAUACAGUCCCAUCAAGGUGUCGGUUCAGGACUAAAAUGAAGUCAUAGCUAAUCAUAAUACAUAUAAUGUCUAGUGAACCAGCACUUAUUAUUUCAAUAAAGGAUGUCCGAUUAUUCACAUAAAAGAAAUAGUUGCAUCGCAAAAGGUUGGCUGAGGGUGUCUUGGUACAACAGUGAGUUUAUUUCACUGUGACUUGGUAGUCAGAUUUAAACCAUGAAACAAACUAAUGCCAGAAGCUUCAUGCACCAGCACACACCUUAUUUAGAAAGGUUGACCAUCCUAAUAUUUCUCAAUCAACUGUCACAUUGUGCUUUUGGUCUGGCUUCAAAGAUUCAUCCUAAGGGGAAAAAAGCACAAGAAGCCUAAUCAUAAUAAAAAAAUAUAUCUUCUUUGCUGGAACCACCAAUCAAUUUUAAGCUAGAAUGGAUGUCAAUAAAUUAUUGACAGAUUGCUCAAUUGCACAUUGUUCAGGCAAGAAACCUUCCAGGUUUUAGUGACUAUGGUAUGGACAAAGUGAAGCAAAAAAAUGGAAGUUGAUUUCACCAACCUUAGUGCAAACGUAAAUGUAAUGGACAUCAGGGUUUUUUCCAAGUGUGACUUCCACCGAGUUUCCAUCAUCACCAAGUGGAACAGGAUUUGUCAACUCCCAAAUUGGAUGUUCAGAGACUCCUCCAGAGAAAAGCUUUUCUGAACAUUGCAAACAGCAAGAUUAAGAACAUUUCAAAUUUCUGAGUUGUUACUAUUAAAAAGGAAGCCCUAGUUAGCCUAUCAUAUGAUGAUGAAUGCAGGACAACCAGUGGACAAUUUUUUCUUGAUUGGACAAUCAUAAGAACUAGAAAUUUGCUCGACACAUAUCACUAAUCCUAUUCCGGUUAUCUGAAGAGGUGUAUGUUUUGCUAUGUCAAUGUUAAGCGGAUCAAUUUGAACCCAAUAGCCAAAACAAAACACAGCAAUUACAGUUCCUUCUUUCCAUAUUAUAGUAAAAUGUAAGAUUCCAAUUCUCCCUUAAUUUAGGCAUUAAAUUUAACAUAAAAAAGGGAAAACAAAUUGUACAUAUGAGAAAAAAAUUAUUAUCAUUCAGGAAAAGGAUUAUAUUGAACCUAUCACAUGGAGUUUUAUCCUCCACAAGUAAGAUUCUCUCAACAAGCGUAAACGAUACACUGGAGCUCCAUAUGUAACCUGCAACACUUGCAAGGCUUGUCAAGGCACGUAAGUAAAAGCAAAUGCAAGUCAUGUUUUAAUUGCUGGAGUAACUCAAGAAACCAAUUUUAUUUACCAGGAUAUAUACUCCUUUAUCCCUGAGGACCCUAUAGUUUGUCAUCAACUCCAAACUUCUUCAAGCAUCUUGGCAGCAUAUUGUCUUGAAUUAUUUCCACACAAGAUAGAGUCUAGAGUUCCUUUAUCAAUAACAGCAUCAAAGGAACCUGUUUGAAAAGUACUCAUAUCUCGGACAUCCAUUUGAAUAUAUUUCAGUGGAGGACGAUUAAAAUACUUCUUCUGCAUAGCUUCAAUAACUACAGAGGAUAUAUCAACGUUUACCACAUCCUCAUAUCCAUCAUCCACCAUCCCUUCGCUAAAUGCUGAGUUGCCACAUCCAACGACGAGGAUUCGAGGGCGAUGGUAGCGAGGGGCGUAGAGAUUGAUGAGCGGAGCCAAGGAAUCAUACUUCUGGUACCAAUCGAAGGGCCCUGAUUCAUUCGCAUAUCUGUUGUCCCAGUACCAUGGCUCACCGUAUGCCUGCGUUGAUGUUCCCAUUGUCAUCCUCUCCAACUGCUCGGCCUCGGCGCUUCUUCAGUCUUGUCGUCAAUGUACUAAAGAUGGAGAGACCAUCGUUCCUCUCGGUCGAACACGAAUAGAGUUGAGGGGUAUUCUAGUUAUUUUCAUUAAGGAAAUGAAUGGCCUAAUUUAAUUAUGAAACAAACGACGCCGUAUCAUCUUCCUUGCCCCUGAAUACCACACCCAGGUGCUACAAUAAGCAGCAAAACCAAACGCAGAGCCUCUGCUAAAAAUCACAGAUCGAUGGGUUGCGUGUUCGUGAUUUGAAUCGAGCGAAAAAAUUGUAAUUGCAGAUUUUUAUUUACAAGUGUAUGUGUGGGUCAGCUCUUUAGUUUUGUAUAAGGUGAAUUCCUUGAGCCAUUGGUUCUGAGAAAUAGAGAUAGAUUAGAAAUUAUAAUUGGGACGUUAAAAUCUAGGUCUUUGAUUACUUACGUUUGACAUUGGGUAGACAGGUGUAGAAGAGAUUGACAUAAUCUCUCAAUUGCAAGAGCAAGUGGAUUCAAUUGCUUCACCUGUCUUCAGUACAACUGGACUCUAUGCGUCCCUCUCCAAAUUACCCUGAACCACCAGCUAACCUAAUGGAGGAUUUUGCAGAGCAAUCUAACUCAAAAUUUUAACUUUAUAGAGUAACUUUUGUGAAAGACGGGCAAGGGUACGCGGCCUUCCCCUUAUUCUCACGAUCUAAACCGAUGACCAUUGACGAAAGAGCAACACAACCUUACCAAUUGCAUUACACAUCUAGAGUUACUAAGAACCG